GAUGAACGCUGGCGGCGUGCCUAAUACAUGCAAGUCGAGCGAACAGACGAGGAGCUUGCUCCUCUGACGUUAGCGGCGGACGGGUGAGUAACACGUGGAUAACCUACCUAUAAGACUGGGAUAACUUCGGGAAACCGGAGCUAAUACCGGAUAAUAUAUUGAACCGCAUGGUUCAAUAGUUAAAGACGGUUUUGCUGUCACUUAUAGAUUGAUCCGCGGCGGAUUAGCUAGUUGGUAAGGUAACGGCUUACCAAGGGGACGAUGGGUAGCUGACCUGAGAGGACGACCGGCCACACUGGGACUGAGACACGGCCCAGACUCCUACGGGAGGCAGCAGGGGGGAAUUUUGGACAAUGGGCGCAAUCAUGAUACAGCAAUGACGCGUGAAGGAUGAAGGUCUUCGGGUUGUAAACUGCUUUGAUAAGGAACGAAAAGCCCUCUUCGAAUACAGGAGGGUCAUGACGGUACCGUAAGAAUAAGCCCCGGCUAACUACGUG
RNAcentral lists this ribosomal RNA (497 nucleotides) under uncultured bacterium. RNAcentral's name for it is "partial 16S ribosomal RNA". It matches the Rfam family "Bacterial small subunit ribosomal RNA", at positions 28 to 507 of the family's 1533-position model. The record is from RNAcentral.